GACGAACGCUGGCGGCGUGCUUAACACAUGCAAGUCGAACGGAAAGGCCCUGCUUGCAGGGUACUCGAGUGGCGAACGGGUGAGUAACACGUGGGUGAUCUGCCCUGCACUUCGGGAUAAGCCUGGGAAACUGGGUCUAAUACCGGAUAGGAGCCAUUUUUAGUGUGAUGGUUGGAAAGUUUUUUCGGUGUAGGAUGAGCUCGCGGCCUAUCAGCUUGUUGGUGGGGUAAUGGCCUACCAAGGCGGCGACGGGUAGCCGGCCUGAGAGGGUGGACGGCCACAUUGGGGAUGAGAGCCGCCCCGGACCCCAGCGGGUGGCGGCGGGGGGGAAUUGUGAAAAAGGGGGCCAAGCCGGAGGGCGCGGCGCCGGGGGGGGGAUGACGGCCUGGGGGUUGUAACCUCUUUCCGCGGGGAAAGAAGCUUUUUGGGACGGUACGUAAUAAAGAGGCACCGGCAAACUAGGUC
RNAcentral lists this ribosomal RNA (465 nucleotides) under uncultured bacterium. Its description in RNAcentral is "partial 16S ribosomal RNA". It matches the Rfam family "Bacterial small subunit ribosomal RNA", at positions 28 to 507 of the family's 1533-position model. The record is from RNAcentral.